Molecule: non-coding RNA, 510 nt
Organism: Oryctolagus cuniculus (rabbit)
Lineage: Eukaryota; Metazoa; Chordata; Mammalia; Lagomorpha; Leporidae
Source: RefSeq, a predicted model, not a curated record
CCUUUACCGUUGGUUCACCCCAAAAUGGCUGCUGCGGCCAGUGCACCGCGCUGAUCUGAUGGCAGGAGCCAGGUGCUUUUCCUGGUCUCCCAUGUGGGUGCAGGGCCCAAGCACUUGGGCCAUCCUCCACUGCACUCCCGGGCCACAGCAGAGAGCUGGCCUGGAAGAGGGGCAACCGGGACAGAAUCCGGCACCCCGACUGGGACUAGAACCCGGGGUGCCAGCGCUGCAAGGCGGAGGAUUAGCCUUGUGAGCCACGGCACCGGCCAAGAGCUCAUCUUUUAAACUUGAUUUUUCAUGAACUUUUGAAGUGCCCUCUGUACAAGUGGAAAAGGAUCUGGAGCCAGAACACUGAGAUGGCAAUUGCCUCUUGGUGCAGUCUUUUGCUUCGGCCCCUUCUGGAAGACUACACCUCAAGACUGCGUUCAUGUUCCAGAGACACAAGAAACGGCCUUCCUGCGGAGAGUUUGGUGUGGUGGCCUUCCUGUCACUGGACUGCACACAGGGAGG